This 59-nucleotide transfer RNA is filed under the name Zorotypus medoensis. Its description in RNAcentral is "tRNA-Ala". Lineage: Eukaryota; Metazoa; Arthropoda; Insecta; Zoraptera; Zorotypidae. The record is from RNAcentral.
AGGAUUAUAGUUAAUUAUAACACUUACUUUGCAAGUAAAAAUUACAAAUGUUAAUCUUA